AAAUUAUACUAAAACAAUUAUUCACCUCAGGCUCGGUGAUUAUCGUGAAUAAAAACCUCGACUUCGUCUCGGUUUUUAUUCACCGAUAAUCACCUCGCUUUCGGCGAAUAAUUGUUAAAUAUAUAUGUAUGUAUGUAUGUAUGUAUGUAGCGGUUUUUGAGUAGUUUUUAUAUGUAGCGGUUUUUGUACGCUCAUAAUUGCGGUAGGUGUUUACGUAUACUAUAACUGUAUAAGGAUCUCAUCUCUGUGUUUCUGAGGUAAGGUAUAAACGCGAAAAUUGUGCCGAAAUGUUAAGGUUGGUAAUGCCAAUGGUAUAUGGAUAGAAAUUGGUAUGGAGGAGGAGUGUAUAUGUCGAGUAUAAAUGUUAACAUGAUAUAUGUAUUUAGGUAAAAUGUUAACAUGAUAUGUAUCUUACGAUUGUAUUUAGGUUUUUAUUAAUGUAUUAUAUAACAGUCGUUUAAUAUUGUG
Paramuricea clavata is the source of this 468-nucleotide non-coding RNA. The record is from the annotation of a GenBank genome assembly. Lineage: Eukaryota; Metazoa; Cnidaria; Anthozoa; Malacalcyonacea; Plexauridae.